RNAcentral lists this ribosomal RNA (492 nucleotides) under uncultured bacterium. Its description in RNAcentral is "partial 16S ribosomal RNA". It matches the Rfam family "Bacterial small subunit ribosomal RNA", at positions 29 to 507 of the family's 1533-position model. The record is from RNAcentral.
AGUGAACGCUGGCGGUAGGCCUAAUACAUGCAAGUCGAACGGCAGCACAGUAAGAGCUUGCUCUUACGGGUGGCGAGUGGCGGACGGGUGAGGAAUACAUCGGAAUCUACUUUUUCGUGGGGGAUAACGUAGGGAAACUUACGCUAAUACCGCAUACGACCUACGGGUGAAAGCAGGGGAUCUUCGGACCUUGCGCGAUUGAAUGAGCCGAUGUCGGAUUAGCUAGUUGGCGGGGUAAAGGCCCACCAAGGCGACGAUCCGUAGCUGGUCUGAGAGGAUGAUCAGACACACUGGAACUGAGACACGGUCCCGACUCCUACGGUAGGCGGCAGUGGGGAAUAUUGGACAAUGGGCGCAAGCCUGAUCCAGCCAUACCGCGUGGGUGAAGAAGGCCUUCGGGUUGUAAAGCCCUUUUGUUGGGAAAGAAAAGCAGCAGGUUAAUACCCCGCUGUUCUGACGGUACCCAAAGAAUAAGCACCGGCUAACUUCGUG